AGAUUGAACGCUGGCGGCAUGCCUUACACAUGCAAGUCGAACGGCAGCACGGGAGCAAUCCUGGUGGCGAGUGGCGAACGGGUGAGUAAUACAUCGGAACGUGCCCAGUUGUGGGGGAUAGCCCGGCGAAAGCCGGAUUAAUACCGCAUACGACCUACGGGGGAAAGCGGGGGAUCGCAAGACCUCGCGCUAUUGGAGCGGCCGAUGUCGGAUUAGCUUGUU
This 222-nucleotide ribosomal RNA is filed under the name uncultured soil bacterium. RNAcentral's name for it is "partial 16S ribosomal RNA". It matches the Rfam family "Bacterial small subunit ribosomal RNA", at positions 26 to 250 of the family's 1533-position model. The record is from RNAcentral.